GUGGCUAUAAAUAGGUCAAGGUGCUGGGUAUCUGAUGAAUCGAAGAGAGGUUUCCAAUUUCUCUCUGUUGCUCUCUUUUCUUUCUUACAACCUAUCUUAGUUUUAGGACAAGGCUUUGGGAUUUAAGACAAAGCCUUAUCUGCUCCAAACAAGGAUUGUAAGGGUUCUAAAGAAGGAGAAUCAAAAGUUCAGAGGAGAUUCUAAGAGGGUGAGGUCAAGUUCUUGAAGAAACUUGAUUGGUACGAGGCUAGUCGAGUUUUAGGGGCUAGAACUCUUGAAGCAAGGUGAAGGAGCGCUGUCUUUGGUUGAAUUUUCGUGUGG
Molecule: long non-coding RNA, 321 nt
Filed under: Elaeis guineensis (African oil palm)
Lineage: Eukaryota; Viridiplantae; Streptophyta; Magnoliopsida; Arecales; Arecaceae
Description: long non-coding RNA (EGUI_LNC080820)
Source: RNAcentral